AGAAAUAUAACUCAAGGGUAGAGUGUGUGUCUUACAAACACGAAGUUAUAGGUUCAAAUCCUUUUAUUUCUA
Molecule: transfer RNA, 72 nt
Filed under: Ishige okamurae
Lineage: Eukaryota; Phaeophyceae; Ectocarpales; Ishigeaceae
Description: tRNA-Val
Rfam family: tRNA
About the family: Transfer RNA (tRNA) molecules are approximately 80 nucleotides in length. Their secondary structure includes four short double-helical elements and three loops (D, anti-codon, and T loops).
Source: RNAcentral